GAUGAACGCUGGCGGCGUGCUUAAUACAUGCAAGUCGAGCGAAAGGACGAGACUUUUGUUUCUUUGUUGUUUGCGGAGGAGGGGUGAACAACAUGUGGAUCAUCCACCUAUCAGUGUGGGAUCAUUUGGGGAAACCGGCGAUAACACCGGAUAAUAUCUUGAUCCGUAUGGUUGAAUAGUAAGAUACGGUGUUUCUGUAUCUUAUAGAUGGAUCUGCGCUUCAUUAGCUGGUUGGGAGGGUAACGGCUUAUCAAGGGAACCAUGCGUUGCCGAAGUGAGAGGGGGGUCGCCCACAUGGGAACGUAGCAGCGCACCAGACUCCUACGGGAGGCCGCAGUAGGGAAUCUUCCGCAAUGGGCGAAAACCUUACGGAGCAAGGCGGCGUGAGUGAUAAAGGUCUUGGGAUCGGAAAACUCUGUUAUUGGGGAGGAACAGAUGUGGAAGGAAACGUGCACAUCGUGACGGUACCUAAUCAGAAAGCCACGGCUAACUACGUG
This 497-nucleotide ribosomal RNA is filed under the name uncultured bacterium. RNAcentral describes it as "partial 16S ribosomal RNA". It matches the Rfam family "Bacterial small subunit ribosomal RNA", at positions 28 to 507 of the family's 1533-position model. The record is from RNAcentral.